RNAcentral lists this ribosomal RNA (497 nucleotides) under uncultured bacterium. Its description in RNAcentral is "partial 16S ribosomal RNA". It matches the Rfam family "Bacterial small subunit ribosomal RNA", at positions 28 to 507 of the family's 1533-position model. The record is from RNAcentral.
GACGAACGCUGGCGGCGUGCUUAACACAUGCAAGUCGAACGGUGAAGCGCCUUCCUUUUUGGUGGGUGUGGAUGAGUGGCGAACGGGUGAGUAACACGUGAGUAACCUGCCCCCUUCUUCUGGAUAACCGCAUGAAAGUGUGGCUAAUACGGGAUAUUCUGGGUCUGCCGCAUGAUGGGUCUGGGAAAGAUAUUGUUUCGGUGGGGGAUGGUCUCGCGGCCUAUCAGCUUGUUGGUGGGGUGAUGGCCUACCAAGGCGGUGAGGGGUAGCCGGCCUGAGAGGGGGGGUGGACACACGAGAAGGGAGGAAAGGGCGAGACACAUACGGGAGGCAGCAGUGGGGGGGAUAGGUCAAAGGGCGAGAGCCUGAUGGAGCCAGGCCCCGUGUGUGAGGAAGGGCGGCGGAUGGUAGAGAACCUUAUGUUGGGAGGAAGGGCAGUAAGUUAAUUUGUUGGGGUGUUGACGGUACCAACAGAAAAAGCACCGGCUAACUUCGUG